GCUGGGCGUGGUGGCGGGUGCCUGUAAUCCCAGCUACUUGGGAGGCUGAGUCAGGAGAAUUGCUUGAACCCAGGAGGCCGAGGUUGCAGUGAGCUGAGAUCGCGCCAUUGCACUCCAGCCUGGGCGACAGAGCGAGACUCUGUCUCAA
Molecule: non-coding RNA, 148 nt
Filed under: Gorilla gorilla gorilla (western lowland gorilla)
Lineage: Eukaryota; Metazoa; Chordata; Mammalia; Primates; Hominidae
Source: Rfam by way of RNAcentral